This 681-nucleotide long non-coding RNA is filed under the name Callithrix jacchus (white-tufted-ear marmoset). RNAcentral describes it as "lncRNA (ENSCJAG00000086400.1)". Lineage: Eukaryota; Metazoa; Chordata; Mammalia; Primates; Cebidae. The record is from RNAcentral.
UUAUUUGACCUGCAAAUACAACUGAUAAUCCUGAAGACAUACCACCUGUGGAACGCCUGACCCAGGAAACAUUACUUCUUUGGGAAAAAAUUGCUUCAGUAGAAUCCCAGGGUCAAGAAAUUUCAGGAAACCAAAGACAACAAUUGCUGCUGAUGCUAGAAAAAGAUUAGUAGAUGAACAGAGUCAGCUCAGUGAGGACUUAGACGCAAAGAGACAGCUCUCUAGCAGUCUGGUGAAGUUCCAUGCUUAUCCAGAGAGCCUGCCAACUUUCAAACUAGAACUUCCACCAUCAUCCCUCCUGGUCCUCAGGCCUUCAGUCUCCAGCAGCAGCUAUACUAUCAGCUCUCCUGGGUCUCCAGCUUGCUGCCUGCAGAUCUUGGGGCUUCUCAGCCUCCAUCAUCACAUAAAUCAAUUUCUUCUAAUAAAACUUUUUCUGGCAUCUAUAAAUCUCCUGUUGGUUCUUUUUCUCUGGAGAAGCCUAAUACAGUGGGGACAUGGAUCAUCCCAGAGAGAACGUAGGAGUGAAGCAGGGAGCCCCAUCCUAGCAGCUGGAUCCUAGGGUCCUCCCAGAGUCUUUUCUGAAGAAGUUCCAAGUCCUACCUAAAAUCUCAAAUAAUGGCAACAGAGCCCGGUAAUGUGUUCUGGAUCCAUAGAGGAAGAGGUGUGGCUGGGUGACUUUCC